UACAGAGGUGGCAAGCGUUGUUCGGAAUCACUGGGCUUAAAGGGCGCGUAGGCGGCAGAUCAAGUCCGGGGUGAAAUCCUCCAGCUCAACUGGAGAAGUGCCUUGGAUACUGAUUUGCUCGAGGGAGGUAGGGGUCGAGGGAACUUCUGGUGGAGCGGUGAAAUGCGUUGAUAUCAGAAGGAACGCCGGUGGCGAAAGCGCUCGACUGGAUCUCUUCUGACGCUGAGGCGCGAAAGCUAGGGGAGCAAACGGG
This 253-nucleotide ribosomal RNA is filed under the name uncultured bacterium. RNAcentral's name for it is "partial 16S ribosomal RNA". It matches the Rfam family "Bacterial small subunit ribosomal RNA", at positions 524 to 776 of the family's 1533-position model. The record is from RNAcentral.